This 1315-nucleotide long non-coding RNA is filed under the name Canis lupus familiaris (dog). RNAcentral describes it as "lncRNA (ENSCAFG00000058323.1)". Lineage: Eukaryota; Metazoa; Chordata; Mammalia; Carnivora; Canidae. The record is from RNAcentral.
UUUUUUUCUUGCUCUCUUUUUGAAAAACACCAAAUUUUAUUUAGAAAUAAUACUACAUGCUCCGAAGAUGUAUUCUUAUUCCUAAAAUGGGUAAAGUUCUGUCUCUUAGAAAUCAGUUCAGCCAAAUUAAUAUGUCCUAUUAAAAAUAGGACUGGCAUUCAAAGAGGAGAUGACCACUGUUUUCCUGUAGCUCUGUCUUGUAGGAAAAACAAACCUCUACAGAGAUAUUAACUCAUAGGGUAGUAAGCAUGUAGCAAUGGAGUUAAGGGUAAAAAUAGUAGUAAUUCAUUGCACUUUUUCCCCCUAUUGAACAAAUGCUCAAGAUAAUUUAUUACACAACAAACAGGGAAAAACAAAAAAUUGAAGUGAUAUGAUUUGAAUUACUAUUAUAUAUUAAUGUCAUAAAAUCAUAGAGCAAUCACUCCAUUUUCCUGGGCCGCAGCUCCCUCAUCUCAGAAACUAGGGUAAUGACUAUACCUACAGUACUGAGCUCAUAGGGUGUGAGGCUCAAAUGAGAUAAUGUUCCUGAAAACCCUUUUAAAUGUGCUAUAUGCAAAAGUUAUUUUCAUUAGAACCAUUAGCAUCAAAGUGUAAAUGAUUGUGAAUUUCACAACUAUAGUUGAAUUUCACACUUCUUCCAUCUUCAGUCACCACUUUUUAAAGUCAACACUUUCUUAAAUGAAUAGUGUACAAAGGAUCCGAUUCACAAAUGUUCUUCUUCAUCUUAAAGUCACAGUCACAAAGUAGUCAAGAUCAGUGUGUGGUCCAGAAUGUCAAGUUCUUUGUAGCCUAAAUAAUGAGGCUCUUUAGGAGAUGCUGUGCAUACUCUCUCUCUGACUAUAUUCAUUAGUUAGACAAUGGUUAUUAAUCAUGUACUUACAACAUAAUUACAAUUACAAAACAAUAGUUCUCCAAACUGACUCAGGUUAGCAGAUCCUGCUUAGAGUAAGUGAAUGAAAAAAAACAACAACAAAAAAGAGUAAGUGAAUGCUCACACUAAUGCAUCUUCUGGAAUGUUGACAUUCUGUUCCUAUCUUUGAAUGCUAUGCUUACUAAGAGUUGAUGUCUGUUCCCAAUCUCUUUAUGCCGAUUGUAUUGGUAAUUAUAAGUAUGUAAUUUAAUUUACUACUGAAUAAACGAAGUGUAACUGGGAAAACAGAAUGGUUGUUUCCAUCAAGGUGAAAUUGAAUGGCUUGGAAAGAUGAAAAAAAUAGGUGACUCAUUUAAAAAUUCACUCUCAGAUAAGUUGUGGACAAGGCCACUGUAUAAGGUUCAUGGGAAGGAAGAUAAAAAGCCUAAAAGGAUUCUGAACCGA